This 474-nucleotide ribosomal RNA is filed under the name uncultured organism. RNAcentral's name for it is "partial 16S ribosomal RNA". It matches the Rfam family "Bacterial small subunit ribosomal RNA", at positions 335 to 800 of the family's 1533-position model. The record is from RNAcentral.
ACUCCUACGGGAGGCAGCAGUGGGGAAUAUUGCACAAUGGGCGCAAGCCUGAUGCAGCCAUGCCGCGUGUAUGAAGAAGGCCUUCGGGUUGUAAAGUACUUUCAGCGGGGAGGAAGGCAAUACGGUUAAUAACCGUGUUGAUUGACGUUACCCGCAGAAGAAGCACCGGCUAACUCCGUGCCAGCAGCCGCGGUAAUACGGAGGGUGCAAGCGUUAAUCGGAAUUACUGGGCGUAAAGCGCACGCAGGCGGUCUGUCAAGUCGGAUGUGAAAUCCCCGGGCUCAACCUGGGAACUGCAUUCGAAACUGGCAGGCUUGAGUCUUGUAGAGGGGGGUAGAAUUCCAGGUGUAGCGGUGAAAUGCGUAGAGAUCUGGAGGAAUACCGGUGGCGAAGGCGGCCCCCUGGACAAAGACUGACGCUCAGGUGCGAAAGCAUGGGGAGCAAACAGGAUUAGAAACCCCUGUAGUCCCAUGA